GGAAGAGUGGCAGAGCGGCGAAUGCAGCGCGGUGCUAACGCGUCGAUCACAGAAAUGGGGUCCGUGGGUUCGAGUCCCACCUCUUCCG
RNAcentral lists this transfer RNA (88 nucleotides) under Pseudobdellovibrionaceae bacterium. RNAcentral describes it as "tRNA-Ser". It matches the Rfam family "tRNA". From Rfam's summary of the family: Transfer RNA (tRNA) molecules are approximately 80 nucleotides in length. Their secondary structure includes four short double-helical elements and three loops (D, anti-codon, and T loops). Further hydrogen bonds mediate the characteristic L-shaped molecular structure. tRNAs have two regions of fundamental functional importance: the anti-codon, which is responsible for specific mRNA codon recognition, and the 3' end, to which the tRNAs corresponding amino acid is attached (by aminoacyl-tRNA synthetases). tRNAs cope with the degeneracy of the genetic code in two manners: having more than one tRNA (with a specific anti-codon) for a particular amino acid; and 'wobble' base-pairing, i.e. permitting non-standard base-pairing at the 3rd anti-codon position. The record is from RNAcentral. Lineage: Bacteria; Pseudomonadati; Bdellovibrionota; Bdellovibrionia; Bdellovibrionales; Pseudobdellovibrionaceae.